Molecule: non-coding RNA, 32 nt
Filed under: Rattus norvegicus (Norway rat)
Lineage: Eukaryota; Metazoa; Chordata; Mammalia; Rodentia; Muridae
Source: RNAcentral
UUCAGUGAUUCAAUUUUAAGAAGGUGUCUAGC